GGACCAUCAUGUCGGUCGUGCCUCGGUACGUACUGGUAUUGUUGGUUUCUCCCUUCUGACGAACCAUGAUGUCAUUUAUUUGGUGUCGUGGGGAAUCAGGACUGUUACUUUGAAAAAAUUAGAGUGUUUAAAGCAGGCUCACGCUUGAAUACGUUAGCAUGGAAUAAUAAAAUAGGACGUUUGACCCUAUUUUGUUGGUUUCUAGGACCAAAGUA
This 215-nucleotide ribosomal RNA is filed under the name Campeiostachys nutans. RNAcentral describes it as "Elymus nutans partial small subunit ribosomal RNA". The stretch from base 37 to 215 matches the Rfam family "Eukaryotic small subunit ribosomal RNA", at positions 684 to 864 of the family's 1831-position model. The record is from RNAcentral. Lineage: Eukaryota; Viridiplantae; Streptophyta; Magnoliopsida; Poales; Poaceae.